UACGGGGGGGGCAAGCGUUGUCCGGAUUUAUUGGGCGUAAAGAGCUCGUAGGCGGCUUGUCGCGUCGACUGUGAAAACCCGUGGCUCAACCAUGUGGUCUGCAGUCGAUACGGGCAGGCUAGAAUUCGGUAGGGGAGACUGGAAUUCCUGGUGUAGCGGUGAAAUGCGCAGAUAUCAGGAGGAACACCGGUGGCGAAGGCGGGUCUCUGGGCCGAUAUUGACGCUGAGGAGCGAAAGCGUGGGGAGCGAACAGG
Molecule: ribosomal RNA, 254 nt
Filed under: uncultured bacterium
Lineage: Bacteria
Description: partial 16S ribosomal RNA
Rfam family: Bacterial small subunit ribosomal RNA
Source: RNAcentral